Molecule: microRNA, 24 nt
Filed under: Corchorus olitorius
Lineage: Eukaryota; Viridiplantae; Streptophyta; Magnoliopsida; Malvales; Malvaceae
Description: mtr-miR520
Source: RNAcentral
CUUAUAAUUAAGGACAGAGGGAGU